This is a long non-coding RNA of Penaeus monodon (black tiger shrimp), 775 nucleotides long. RefSeq lists it as uncharacterized. NCBI's taxonomy places the organism in Eukaryota, Metazoa, Arthropoda, Malacostraca, Decapoda, Penaeidae. The transcript is spliced from 2 exons. The record is from RefSeq and is a predicted model, not a curated record.
AAAUUGGAACUUACUAUUAACAUGUGGGUAUUUUUAUGCAAAAACAGACAAAAGAACUCCAAGUUUUGGACUAUGAGCUUCAACAUUUGCAAGAUAGCAGAAAGCUAUACCUAAAUCAGCCAAACAGUAAUCUGUAUUUCCUCUGCAGUAAGGCUGAAGCUCUCAGCCACUUGGAAAAGCAAAAGGAGAAGCUUUCAGAAAUGAAAAAGAAAACAUAGGAUAAUUCAUACAUUCAUUUGGAAAUCUUGUGUAUGUUCAUGGUAUUCAAGAAGCAUUUUUAUUCAUAAGUGUAUUCCCUUUUUUUUUUUUUUUUUCUUUUCCUUUCUUUUCUUUUCUUUUUCGUUUGUCAGUUUGAGUGUGAGAACAAUUUUGUAACUAGUGUACGAGUAAAUUAGUAUGUUGGCAUAAAUUUUGAAAUUCUGUUAUUAUUUCACACAUAUUUGGACCAACUGUUUUAAAAUUGUGUAUGCUGAGAAUAAAUAUGAUGAGCUAUAAUUCAUUUCAUUGCUCAUAUGCUUUUAGCAUCUGUAUUCCUCUAUAUUGUUCCAUGUGGAUAUGUUUGAAGCUGAAAAUGUGUCGGUAGUCUUCAGAGUAUUUUUAAAUAGAUGUUUCUCAAGUUAUAGGUAUUGUAAAAUCAGCAGGGAAAUUUGAAUUAAUGUGUAUAUGUAUUUUUUUAUGAUUUUGUGCAUGAAAUAAGAUAUAUGAUGUUCCCCAUAUUACAAAGAAUUUUGUUCAAAGCUUAGACAUGGAUAUGGAAAUAAAUAUCUUGAAGGCA